GGAAGGGUGCGUGAGCGGUUGAAACGACCAGUCUCGAAAACUGGCAGGGGUGCAAGCUCCUCGAGGGUUCGAAUCCCUCCCCUUCCG
Molecule: transfer RNA, 87 nt
Filed under: Elusimicrobiota bacterium
Lineage: Bacteria; Pseudomonadati; Elusimicrobiota
Description: Elusimicrobia bacterium tRNA-Ser
Rfam family: tRNA
About the family: Transfer RNA (tRNA) molecules are approximately 80 nucleotides in length. Their secondary structure includes four short double-helical elements and three loops (D, anti-codon, and T loops). Further hydrogen bonds mediate the characteristic L-shaped molecular structure. tRNAs have two regions of fundamental functional importance: the anti-codon, which is responsible for specific mRNA codon recognition, and the 3' end, to which the tRNAs corresponding amino acid is attached (by aminoacyl-tRNA synthetases). tRNAs cope with the degeneracy of the genetic code in two manners: having more than one tRNA (with a specific anti-codon) for a particular amino acid; and 'wobble' base-pairing, i.e. permitting non-standard base-pairing at the 3rd anti-codon position.
Source: RNAcentral